Molecule: transfer RNA, 74 nt
Filed under: Campylobacter ureolyticus ACS-301-V-Sch3b
Lineage: Bacteria; Pseudomonadati; Campylobacterota; Epsilonproteobacteria; Campylobacterales; Campylobacteraceae
Also listed under: 1 other name
Rfam family: tRNA
About the family: Transfer RNA (tRNA) molecules are approximately 80 nucleotides in length.
Source: Rfam by way of RNAcentral
CGGGGCGUAGCGCAGUCUGGUAGCGCAUCUGGUUUGGGACCAGAGGGCCGAAGGUUCGAAUCCUUUCGCCCCGA